GUUCGUCGCAAAGCUCUCCACCUCCUCCCAGGCUUUGCGAUAACAAGACCGGUUCUCCUCCCAAUGCCGGUCUUCCCCUAAUGGCAUCCGUCGCCCUCCUCCCGCGACGGAUGCCAUUU
Non-coding RNA from Brucella suis ATCC 23445, 119 nucleotides. The record is from Rfam. Lineage: Bacteria; Pseudomonadati; Pseudomonadota; Alphaproteobacteria; Hyphomicrobiales; Brucellaceae.